Long non-coding RNA from Gracilinanus agilis (Agile Gracile Mouse Opossum), 1245 nucleotides. RefSeq lists it as uncharacterized. The record is from RefSeq and is a predicted model, not a curated record. Lineage: Eukaryota; Metazoa; Chordata; Mammalia; Didelphimorphia; Didelphidae. The transcript is spliced from 2 exons.
UAGAGAUAAAUUAAAAUUUUGGACCCAUUGUGUACUUGUAACAUUGAUCAUGUUUACUAUAUUCUCAUUUUUCGCUGAGCAGCUAAUUGCACUCAAGCGGAAGAUUUUUCCCAGAAGGAGGAUCCAUAAGGAAGUUGGUACUGAACGGAUUGGGGUAUAGGAAAUUAAAAGAGCUUACCUCCACGUUUACGAGAUGACUACCGUAUCUUUCUGACGUGAUGCCUCAGGAUCCAAGGCCUAAAGAAAUAAAGAGAAACAUCCCAUAAAGAUGGCAAGAGAUGCAACACCCAGACCAGCUGAGCUGUUUAAUAGAUAUAUCAAAAAAUAACAGGUGUGUUGGGCAGUCCUCAACUGGAUUUCUACUUUGGAAGCAUUAGCUCAUGGACAUGUUAUCCUUUUUAUAAAAAGGGUUCCUGAAAGAGAUACAGCUGCCUUUAUUGCAGUGGACGUUGCCAAGUAAAUUUAAUAUCCAGAUCCUAGGCCGACGUGGGAAGUUACCGAAGAAGCCUCAGAUUUUGCAUUCCAAAACAUUCUGCUGUGAUCUUGCUGGGAUGCUUUUUUCAUUUUCUGUUUUUAAAUAGGUAACAACUAAGUUAACUCUUUAGCUAUGUUUUUAUCCAACCUGUGAUACUGAAACUUAUUGAUGAAUGUACAUAAACACAGCCUCAUAUUGGCAGGAUCAAAAAAUUCUGGAUUUGAAGAAUGUUAGUGGGAUUUGGCUACAGAAGAUCUCAGCAACUGACAUCUGAAAUAUUUUGGAUUGGGUUUACUGGACUCCUUAAGAAUACAGGGAUUAUGUUUGGAAGCCUAAGCACAAAGGGCUAGUGGGAAGUAGCAACAGCUACUGGCCAAUAUAUUAUACUCAUGUUUUGGAAAUGUAAAAUACAAACAAAAGUGCCUCAUUGUAGAAAUUAGCAAUCACUGUUAUGUUGAUGGUUCCUUUAAUAUGAUAGCAUGUGGCAUCAAGUUCCACAUAAUGAGAGAUUCUUUUUAAGUCUGAGCAGGCUCUAACACUGUGUCAUAUUUUGUUAUGACAUUAUUAAGACUAUGGAAAACUUGGGGAGGAAAGGCAAUCUUUUCAAGUUGAUGUUAUGGUUUUGACAUGUACUUUAAAUCACAGUCACAGCAGUAUUCUUUCAAAAAUCCCAAGAAUCAUUUUGUAAUAGUUGUAAACUGGAAUCUGGAAUGUACAUAAUGGUUUUGUGCUGUCACUGUGUGGUUAAAAAGACUCACUGAAAAAAGUCA